RNAcentral lists this ribosomal RNA (509 nucleotides) under uncultured Bacteroidota bacterium. RNAcentral describes it as "bacterial SSU rRNA". It matches the Rfam family "Bacterial small subunit ribosomal RNA", at positions 903 to 1382 of the family's 1533-position model. The record is from RNAcentral. Lineage: Bacteria; Pseudomonadati; Bacteroidota.
CUAUGCGCCUUGCCAGCCCGCCUCAGAAACUUAAAGGAAUUGACGGGGCCCGCACAAGCGGUGGAGCAUGUGGUUUUAAUUCGAUGAUACGCGAGGAACCUUACCUGGGCUUAAAUGCUUAAUGACGUACUGGGAAACUGGUAUUUCUUCGGACAUUUUGCAAGGUGCUGCAUGGUUGUCGUCAGCUCGUGCCGUGAGGUGUCGGGUUAAGUCCCAUAACGAGCGCAACCCCUAUUGUUAGUUGCCAUCAGGUCAUGCUGGGGACUCUAACAAAACUGCCCGCGUAAGCGUGGAGGAAGGUGGGGAUGACGUCAAAUCAGCACGGCCCUUACGUCCAGGGCUACACACGUGCUACAAUGGCCGGUACAGAGGGCAGCCACUUGGUGACAAGGAGCAAAUCUCAAAAGCCGGUCUCAGUUCGGAUCGGAGUCUGCAACUCGACUCCGUGAAGUUGGAUUCGCUAGUAAUCGUAGAUCAGCAAUGCUACGGUGAAUACGUUCCCGGGCCUU